This 253-nucleotide ribosomal RNA is filed under the name uncultured bacterium. RNAcentral's name for it is "partial 16S ribosomal RNA". It matches the Rfam family "Bacterial small subunit ribosomal RNA", at positions 524 to 776 of the family's 1533-position model. The record is from RNAcentral.
UACGGAGGGUGCAGGCGUUGUUCGGAUUUACUGGGCGUAAAGCGCGCGCAGGUGGGUGAACAAGUCGGACGUGAAAUCUUGAGGCUCAACCUCGAGGCUGCUCCCGAAACUGUUCGCCUAGGGACUGGUAGAGGCUGGUAGAAUUCCCGGUGUAGCGGUGGAAUGCGUAGAGAUCGGGAAGAAUACCUGUGGCGAAGGCGGCCAGCUGGGCCAGAUCCGACACUGAGGCGCGAAAGCGUGGGGAGCAAACAGG